Molecule: unclassified non-coding RNA, 332 nt
Filed under: Hevea brasiliensis (rubber tree)
Lineage: Eukaryota; Viridiplantae; Streptophyta; Magnoliopsida; Malpighiales; Euphorbiaceae
Source: RNAcentral
GCCUCAUUUAUGCCAAUGGACCUCCAGGAAUCGUAGUGCUGCAGUACACCCUUUCUCGAGCCUUCUUGGAUUCGUUGUCCCAGUUGGUGCUUAGAGUUAUUGCCAGCAGACCUAGCCCUUGGACCGCAAGUGCAACUAUAAUUCCUGUCCAGAGACCCUUCCCUCCAAAGUGGUAGACGAAAGCUAAUACUACAGAACAAGGAAUGCCUAUAAGAUAGUAAGCUCCCAAAUUAAUAAUAGCUCCAAGCUUCUGCCAUCCACAUCCUCUAGCUGUGCCUGAAAGCACAGAUUGGAUGCCAUCGAAGAAGUGGGAGGCUGCAAUCAAAAUGAGC